AUGUGUCAUACAGAUGGAGGAGUCUGGUGCACUUUAAGAAGCCCACCACUGCAAGGUGAAGAAAUUGAUACGAGACCAGACAAGGAAUUCACGCAAGACUUUAUAAGGACUACUGCUGCAGCACGAGGGAGUGAAAACAAGCAACAGGUUCACUUGCACAAUCCCUGAGGCGGGGUAAGCUGGUUCCUUAAAUGGGGUGAGGGUAUAGGUUGAUCUGUAGGUGGGGCCUGAGGCGUGGCUUAGGUGGUCUGACCACCCUCUUGGUGGUGCUGUGUGCAGGGAUCACGGCAGUACCCUGCUUUUGCUCCUGGCACCUCAGAAGUAGCAGCUGGGUUUUGGCCUUUUGUAUCCUAUUGUUCAUAACUGUCCCGACUGUGCAUGUGUGUGGAUAUCUUUAGUCCUUUAUAGUUUCUUUGUAUUCUGUUGCUCAAGGAGACAUUUGUCCAGGUGCAAGGACUGAGUAAAGGGUCUCAGGUUCCAGGUCCCAGCCUGUCUCAUUAUUAUCUCACAGCAGUUCUUGUUUUAAAUCCUUACAUUCUUUCUCAAAUUUAUUUUGCUUCACAUGAUUACACAUUUCUUCAAAAAAUGAACAUUAACGCAUCUAGAGCCCAGAAUAACUGCAUUGGUUUAUAACUUUGUGACCAGAAAUCUGCAAUUCUUGGUACUUCUAUUUUCACAGUACAUUAGGUUUGGAUAGGUAGUUUUAUUUUUUUCCUCACUCAAGUUCUUCACGAUUUAAGUGGUAGAGAAGAAGAAAUGUAAUUCUCAAUUCAAUGCAAUCAUUGUUUUUGUUAUACUUGAAAACACUUUUGUUGUUCAGAGUUAAAACAAAACAUGAACCCAAAUUACCUGUAUUCCUAACUUAACUCUCCUUUACUCAAAUACCAGCAGUGUCUGCAGCCAGACAAAAGUAGAGAACACUUGAUGGAGGGAAGCUAGAAUGGAAGGAGACACUGGUUCAUUGUCAUUAAAAUAUUUUAUCUUGGGAAAUUUUACAAAAACAUAUUUUCACAGAAACACACUGUUAGGGCCCUUCCUAGGGCCAUAGAAGAAGCCGGUGCAGAUGAGAAGCCCUGAAAUGUAAGCUUUAUUAGCUUCAUGAUAAAUCCUCCUCUGCUUGAACUUCUAUGUCCUUCUAGCUCCUGUCCCUUUUCUUCUCUUCCCUUUAUAACAAUACUCCUUGAAGUGAACUGGCAAUGCUGCUGUCUCUGCUUUCUCUCUUCUAUUUUGUUCAGGAUCCCAUCAUUCCUCUAAAACUGUUACUGAGCUCACUCUGCUCGCUGCACGACAGACAGGCCAAUAAAUCGGGAGACGAACUGUUGUGGCAAGGAAUAAUGACAUUAAUCAGAAAGCUAGCAGAUCAAGAAGAUGGCAGACUAGAGUCCGCCCCAACAAAAUCUUCCCUCAGUCCCAAUUCGGGCUCCUUUAUACAGAGGAAGGGGAGUGGGAGGGGCCCACUGCGAUGCCAACCAAUGGCUGACUGGGACUGCUAACGGUAGCCUUCUAAGGGUUGCUCCCUAAUGGCUGCUCACCAACGGUGGUCUGCUUCCGGGAGGGGCCCACUGUGACCAAUGGCCGACCAAUGGCUGAGCAGGACGCUACCAGUCACUGCUAACAACCCUGCACCUGCCCCGCCUCUAUUAUACCCCAAUCAUGUAUUAGUCAUUCCUCCCAACAGCCUUAAUAGAUGUCCAUCCCCAUUUUAAAACAGGGUCCAGAGCAUAAGUGCCCUACUAACUUGCCCAAGGUCACAGAAAAAAAAUACAAAAAACCAUAACUAUUGUCAAAACUGUGGUUCCCAGUCCUCAUUGCAUUUGGCCUGUCAGCAGCAUUUGAAACAGUGAACAUCCCUUCUUUAAACAAGACCUUCCCUUGGCUUCUGGAACACAACUCUCUCUUGAUUCUCUGUAACUCACUGGUUGCACCAGGGUCUUGUUUACUGGCUCUUCCUCUUCUUCCUGACAGCUAGACAGAUGUUGGAACGCUUUCAGGCUUACUUCUCUGAACUUUUGUUUCCCUCCUCAUCUACAUCCCCUCCCUGUGUGUCAUGUAUAUCCCUUUCCUAUUCUCUGAAUUCCAGGCUCUAUAUCCAACUGCUCAGUUCCAUCUCUACUUGAUUGCCUAACUAAUCACAACAAAACUGGAGAAACAAACUCUUGAUUUGUACCCUGCUUGUCCUAGAUCUCAGUAAAGUGCCAUUUCAUUCUUUCAUUUGCACAAGCUAAACAAAAGCAUUAAGUCAUUCGUGACUCCUAUUUUUCUCUCACUCUCCCCUCAGUCUAUGGAUAGCAAAUCCUAUUGACAAUAUUUCUCCCCAUCUUUUCAUACCAUCUUUCUCUUAUUGCAUCAACUCAGGUAUUAUGUAAUUCUUUGUGAAGUCAUUCAUUUAUACUUGUUACCUGAGAGUUGGUUAGUCUAGAAUCAGUGAAUGGGCUAGAGCCUGGGACAGAAAUGAUUUGUUUUGCUCUACAUUUUUCUUGCUCCCUUAAAAGGAAGAGAAGAAAAAAAGGAGAGUGGCAACCAUCAAAACACCUUCCUCUCUGCUCAUCAAAAUUAAUUCAGUUCACUGCCAUAUUAGGCCAAAUAAAGAUUGGCAUAAGAGUAGUUACGAAUUUCAAGCACUCAGCCUAUAGGAUUUCUACUUCUAUGCCACCUCUUAUCAAUCUCGUUUAUUAAUAAUGCUACUGUAUUUUAUUUAUCUUUGUGCUUUACAAUUAUUAUAACAGCAAAAUUUAUUAUUAAUUUCUACUCUUAAAAUUAAACUUUUUAUCACAUGAGGUAAUUGAAUCUGGUUAUGGAACAGGUAUAUAGAAAACAACAACUGCUUAUGUUUGAACCCAGGAGUAAUGGAAUUAGAGAUUGGUUAUUUGAAAAUUAGUUGCUUUUUAACAUCUCAAGUAGAUACUUUUUUCUGCCCUUUGGCCUCCUCUCUCCCCCUCUACUAUGCAUUGUGUAUCUGCAUUAGGCAUCAACCAAACCUCCCCCAUGGGUAGAAAUACUUGCUCAACCAUAAAGAGCAACAUUCUCCUAGCAUCAACAAGACAACUCCUUAAAAGAUAACAUUCUUUCUUGAUCUUGUAAGGGGCCACGAUGAUGCUUAGAUCUAGAUUGUGUAAACUGUCAAUAAUACAUUAUUUAAUGUGUAGCCCUCUGUAGCAACAAACUUAUAUAACUGUGCCUUGAUUUCUAACGGGCAGAACAGUUCUCGGAGUUUUCUUUUUUUUUUAAUAGAUUUUUGUUGUUGUUGUUUUAUAAAUUUGUUUUUUUUAAUUUUUGGCUGUGUGGGUCUUCAUUGCUGCAUGCGGGCUUCCUCUAGUUGUGGCAAGUGGGGGCUACUCUUCUUUGAGGUGCGUGGGCUUCUCAUUGUGGUUGCUUCUCUUGUUGCAGAGAAUGGGCUCUAGGCAUGCGGGCUUCAGUAGUUGUGGCACGUGGGCUCAGUAAUUGUGGCUCCCAGGCUCUAGAGCGCAGGCUCAGUAGUGGUGGCUCACGGGCUUAGUUGCUCCGCGGCAUGUGGGAUCUUCCCGGACCAGAGCUCGAACCCACGUCCCCUGCACUGGCAGAUGGAUUCUUAACCACUGUACCACCAGGGAAGUCUUCUCAGAGCUUUAUGAGAUGCUGUUCCUGGGCUAUAAUCAUCAAAUUUGGCUCAAAAUUUUCCAUUUCUUUCCUUUUCUUUUCUUUUUGCUUUGUUUUAUUUUAUUUUUUAAAUUUAUUUUAUUGAAAUAUAGUCAAUUUACAACAUUGUGUUAGUUUCUGCUGUAUAGCAAAGUGAUUCAGUUAUACAUAUGAAUAUAGAUUCUUUUUCAUAUUCUUUUCCAUUAUGGUUUAUUACAAGAUACUGAAUAUAGUUCCCUGUGCUACACAGUAGGAUCUUGGUGUUUAUCCAUCUGUUUCUUGAUCUAUUGAUUAAUUUUUCAUCAACAUUGAGAUGUUCUUGAAUUUCAGGACUUAGAAAUUUUUAUUACUCUUUAUUGUAAAGUACACUGAAUAUUAACCAACCACCUUUACAAUAAACAAAUACAGUAACAGUAACUCAUACUAACACAAAACAUAUUCCUAACAAGCCAUUUUUUUUCUGUCUGGGGCAGUUUUAAAGUCACCUUCUUCCCCCCACAAAAACAGAAAUGUACUUAUACAAAAGCCAUCUUUUUAAACAAAGCUAAUGAUUCACAAAAAACCAUGAUACACCUCUUGAUACACCUCUAAUAGAUUUUGUUAAAAUCAGUCUCAUAGUAACAUGUUUGAAGUGUUCUUUAGCAAAAUAUGUGAAGAGAAGACUUUAUCAAUGUCUAAAAAAGUGGGCCUUCUUUAUAGACAAUCUGGGAAAUUAUCAUAAAAUAUUAAAAUUUUCCUUAUAAUUUUUAAGACUAAUUUUUCAAAAAUACACAGUUACAAAUUUACUAUCAGGUACACUACGUUGCACAUUUAAUGCCUUUUAAACUAAUUAUAAAUGACAAAUAUAGUACCUGUGAAUUCAUUAAUGUCUUCAUAAAAAUUAGAAUUUGAUUACAAUUGAGAGGAAGAUUUGGUUUUUGAUAGAAUAGUAACUGUGGGAUAAUACAAACACAAAAAUUUGUGAACCAUUCCCUCAGAUUACCUAGCAAUGUUGGGAACAGUAGGUGGUCAAUAAACCUCUAAUGGAUUGAAUUUAAGACUCUUCACAGCCUUUCCCUACCUGAUUUUCCAGCUUUGUUUCACAACAGCAUCCUACACUAUUCCAGAAUACUUGCUGUUGUUGACAUUACUCAGGAGCCUCAGAUUCUAUGCUUUUGCACAUAUUAGUCCCUGUGUCUGGGAUGCCCUCAUCCCAAUUUCUGACUUUGAUAUCCAACUCAUUUGUGAAGAUUAGCUCAAAUGCCACUUUUUAUAGGCAGCCUUCUCCAAUAUUUCUAUGCUACCACAUAUACAUACAGCUAUGUAUUACAGUUAUUUGUAUGUAUAUAUAUCCACUUUAAGCUCUUUGAGGGGAGAAACUUGUUUUGUUCAUUGUUUGUCUCUUAGUACCUAGCACAACACCCUAUAAAUGUUCAUUGAAUUGACUGAUUAAAGUGGAGAUUUUUAAGUUUUUCUAAGGUUCAUAUCUUUUGCUAAAGAUGAUAUAAAUUCAUGGAAGAAAUAUCUUUGGGAAAUAUGCUUUAGAUCUUGUGCACUCAAAGCCAGUGACUGAAGAAAAUUCUGGCUUUAUUACUGAUAAAUCUGUGAGCUACUCUCAGGGAGGGAUAGAAUAUAUACUAGUGAAGCUCUUAAUAUAUGCCAAUCCACCACUGAUGGUUUGAUUUCAUACUCUGCUAAAUUGUCUGCUAUGUACAAAUAUCAACAAUUUAGAAAAGAACACUGCCUCAAGUUGUGAUGGGUGCCACUGUGCUGUAAGAAGGGCUAUAACUCAGCUGAGAUUGGCUCCAGAGGUAGUAGUUUCUGGAGUUCAAUUCUCCCUUGAAAAAUUCCCUAUUGGAUCAGAGGUAAUGCUGAUUUAUGAAUCAUCUGAAGAUUGAGCUGGUGGGUGGAUUAACG
Molecule: long non-coding RNA, 5511 nt
Filed under: Phocoena sinus (vaquita)
Lineage: Eukaryota; Metazoa; Chordata; Mammalia; Artiodactyla; Phocoenidae
Description: lncRNA (ENSPSNG00000011069.1)
Source: RNAcentral